GUCCCCAAAAUGAGGGGGGGUCCCCAAGGCCUAAAGGGUCCCCAAAAUGGAGAAGGUCCCCAAAAUGGGAGGGGUCACCAAGGUGGGGACGGUCUCCAAAAUGGGGGGUCCCAUUGGGGUCCCAUGGGUGGGAAGUCCCCAAACUGGGGGUCCCCUAAGUGGAGAAGGUCCCCAAAAUGGAGGGUCCCAUGAGGGGGCCCCCAAAUUGAGGACGGUUCCCAAAAUGGGGGUCCCAUGGGUGAUGUCCCCAAACUGGGGGGGUUCCCCAAAUUUGGGGAGGGGGUUCCAUGGAGGGUCCCCAAAAUGAGGGUCCCCAAAAUGGGGGUACCGUGGGUAGGAGAUCCCCGAAAUGGGGUCACCAAGGUGGAGAACGUCCCCAAAAUGGAGGGGUCACCGAGGUGGGGACGGUCUCCAAAAUGGGGGAUCCCAGAGGGGGUCCCAUGGGUGAGGUCACCAAAAUGGGGGGGUCACCAAGGUGGAGAAGGUCCCCAGAAUGGGGGGGGGUCCCAUGAAGGGGUUUCCCAAAACGGGGGUGUCCCAAAAUGGCCCCCCAAGUCCUGGGGGGUCCCCAAGGUGGAGAAAGUCCCCAAAAUGGGAGAUUCCAUUGAAGGUCCCCAAAAUGGGGGAGUCCAUUGAAGAUCCCCAAAUUGGGAGAUCCCAUUGAAGGUCCCCAAAAUGGGGGGGUCACCAAGGUGGGGAUGGUCCCCAAAAUGGGGGGGGGUCCCCAAAAUUGGGGUCACCAAGGUGGGGAUGGUCCCCAAAAUGAAGGGUCCCAUGAAGGGGGUCCCCAAAAAGGAGAAGGUCCCCAAAAUGGGGAUGGUCCCAAAAAUGGGGGUCCCAUGGGUGACGUCCCCAAACUGGGGGGGUCCCCAAAGUGGGGGGGGGGUCCCCAAAUUAGGGUGGGGGUCCCCAAAUUAGGGUAUGGGGGGUUCCCCAAACUGGGGGUGGUGGGGCCAACCCAGCGCUACCUCCCAGCUCUGCUCACUGCCAGGGGACCCCCCAAUUUUCCUCCUCGGCUUAAUUAAGUUUUAAUUAAUUCUUAAUUAAUUCCUGGGGCUCACUCAUUAAUUUUUAAAUCAUUUUUUUCCCUUCCUCCUUUGAUUCCUGGCGGGUUUUUUUGGGGUUUAUUUUUUUUUUUUAAAGCCUCGAGGUUUUUAUUUAUUAUUAUUAAUUAAAUAAAAAAAAUUAAAAUUAAUGGAUAAAAAAAUAU
This 1210-nucleotide long non-coding RNA is filed under the name Junco hyemalis (dark-eyed junco). RNAcentral describes it as "lncRNA (ENSJHYG00000003892.1)". The record is from RNAcentral. Lineage: Eukaryota; Metazoa; Chordata; Aves; Passeriformes; Passerellidae.